UGCCGUGGUGGGCGGGUUCAGGUGGGCUGACGUUGCCGUCGCCAGCGAAGAGGGUUCGAGUCCCCAUGGCGGCGG
RNAcentral lists this transfer RNA (75 nucleotides) under Candidatus Poseidoniales archaeon. RNAcentral describes it as "tRNA-Gly". Lineage: Archaea; Methanobacteriati; Thermoplasmatota; Candidatus Poseidoniia; Candidatus Poseidoniales. The record is from RNAcentral.